RNAcentral lists this ribosomal RNA (450 nucleotides) under uncultured bacterium. RNAcentral's name for it is "SSU rRNA". It matches the Rfam family "Bacterial small subunit ribosomal RNA", at positions 26 to 518 of the family's 1533-position model. The record is from RNAcentral.
AGAGCGAACGCUGGCGGCAUGCUUAACACAUGCAAGUCGCACGGGCAUUUCGGUGUCAGUGGCGGACGGGUGAGUAACGCGUAGGUAUCUAUCCUUGGGUGGGGGAUAACGGUUGGAAACGACUGCUAAUACCGCAUGAUAACUGAGGUUUAAAGGCGCAAGUCGCCUGGGGAGGAGCCUGCGUACGAUUAGCUUGUUGGUGGGGUAAAGGCCUACCAAGGCGACGAUCGUUAGCUGGUCUGAGAGGAUGAUCAGCCACAUUGGGACUGAGACACGGCCCAAACUCCUACGGGAGGCAGCAGUGGGGAAUAUUGGACAAUGGGCGAAAGCCUGAUCCAGCAAUGCCGCGUGUGUGAAGAAGGUCUUCGGAUUGUAAAGCACUUUCGACAGGGACGAUGAUGACGGUACCUGUAGAAGAACGCCCCGGACUAACUUCGUGCCAGCAGCCGC